UACGUAGGGUGCAAGCGUUAAUCGGAAUUACUGGGCGUAAAGCGUGCGCAGGCGGUUAUGUAAGACAGUUGUGAAAUCCCCGGGCUCAACCUGGGAAUUGCAUCUGUGACUGCAUAGCUAGAGUACGGUAGAGGGGGAUGGAAUUCCGCGUGUAGCAGUGAAAUGCGUAGAUAUGCGGAGGAACACCGAUGGCGAAGGCAAUCCCCUGGACCUGUACUGACGCUCAUGCACGAAAGCGUGGGGAGCAAACGAGGAUUAGA
RNAcentral lists this ribosomal RNA (260 nucleotides) under uncultured bacterium. RNAcentral's name for it is "partial 16S ribosomal RNA". It matches the Rfam family "Bacterial small subunit ribosomal RNA", at positions 524 to 782 of the family's 1533-position model. The record is from RNAcentral.